UACGGAGGGUGCAAGCGUUAUCCGGAUUUACUGGGUUUAAAGGGUGCGUAGGCGGGCUUUUAAGUCAGUGGUGAAAACUCCGAGCUUAACUCGGAAACUGCCAUUGAUACUAUUAGUCUUGAAUUUAGUUGAGGUUGGCGGAAUGUGUCGUGUAGCGGUGAAAUGCUUAGAUAUGACACAGAACACCGAUUGCGAAGGCAGCUGGCUAAACUAAAAUUGACGCUGAGGCACGAAAGUGUGGGGAUCAAACAGG
RNAcentral lists this ribosomal RNA (253 nucleotides) under uncultured bacterium. Its description in RNAcentral is "partial 16S ribosomal RNA". It matches the Rfam family "Bacterial small subunit ribosomal RNA", at positions 524 to 776 of the family's 1533-position model. RNAcentral also lists the same sequence under 1 other name. The record is from RNAcentral.